RNAcentral lists this ribosomal RNA (490 nucleotides) under Streptococcus sp. oral taxon C65. RNAcentral's name for it is "bacterial SSU rRNA". It matches the Rfam family "Bacterial small subunit ribosomal RNA", at positions 28 to 500 of the family's 1533-position model. Lineage: Bacteria; Bacillati; Bacillota; Bacilli; Lactobacillales; Streptococcaceae. The record is from RNAcentral.
GACGAACGCUGGCGGCGUGCCUAAUACAUGCAAGUAGAACGCUGAAGAGAGGAGCUUGCUCUUCUUGGAUGAGUUGCGAACGGGUGAGUAACGCGUAGGUAACCUGCCUUGUAGCGGGGGAUAACUAUUGGAAACGAUAGCUAAUACCGCAUAACAAUGGAUGACACAUGUCAUUUAUUUGAAAGGGGCAAUUGCUCCACUACAAGAUGGACCUGCGUUGUAUUAGCUAGUAGGUGAGGUAACGGCUCACCUAGGCGACGAUACAUAGCCGACCUGAGAGGGUGAUCGGCCACACUGGGACUGAGACACGGCCCAGACUCCUACGGGAGGCAGCAGUAGGGAAUCUUCGGCAGUGGGGGCAACCCUGACCGAGCAACGCCGCGUGAGUGAAGAAGGUUUUCGGAUCGUAAAGCUCUGUUGUAAGUCAAGAACGAGUGUGAGAGUGGAAAGUUCACACUGUGACGGUAGCUUACCAGAAAGGGACGGCUAA